This 405-nucleotide ribosomal RNA is filed under the name Hamiota australis. RNAcentral describes it as "partial 16S ribosomal RNA". It matches the Rfam family "Bacterial large subunit ribosomal RNA", at positions 1923 to 2560 of the family's 2925-position model. Lineage: Eukaryota; Metazoa; Mollusca; Bivalvia; Unionida; Unionidae. The record is from RNAcentral.
UUAAACGGCCGCGUUAGCGUGAGCGUGCUAAGGUAGCGUAAUAAAUAGCCUCUUAAUUGGAGGCCAGUGAAUGGCAAGACUAGGGAAAUCUGUACCCUGUAUAGAAAAAAAAUUUUUCAUCUGGGUGAAAAGACCCUAAUAAUAAAGGAAGACGAAAAGACCCCGCGGAACUUUACCUUUUCUUAGUCUCCACAUGCUCAAUAAACACAAGAACAAAAGGUUUGAUUGGGGCAAUCUCGGAACCACCUAAACUUCCGAUUCGUAACAUAAGAAUCAUAUAAAACUUAAUAAGGACCAAAAAGAAGUUACCCCGGGGAUAACAGCGUAAUCCAACUUGAGAGUACACAUCGAAAGCUGGGUUUGCGACCUCGAUGUUGGCUUAAGGAUAUCCACAUAAGUGCAACC